Molecule: ribosomal RNA, 443 nt
Filed under: uncultured bacterium
Lineage: Bacteria
Description: partial 16S ribosomal RNA
Rfam family: Bacterial small subunit ribosomal RNA
Source: RNAcentral
CCUACGGGGAGCAGCAGUGGGGAAUAUUUGGCAAUGGAGGCAACUCUGACCCAGCAACGCCGCGUGAAGGAAGAAGGCCUCAGGGUUGUAAACUUAUGUUGUACAGUAAGAAAAGAAUGCCGGUACUUUACAAGAAAGCCCCGGCUAACUCUGUGCCAGCAGCCGCGGUAAGACCUAGGGGGCAAGCGUUGUUCGGAAUUACUGGGCGUAAAUGGAGCGUAGGCGGGAGAUUAAGUUAUGAGUGAAAGCCUUGGGCUCAACCCAAGAAAUGCUCUUAAUACUGGUUUUCGAGAGUGUGGGAGAGGUAAGUGGAAUUCCUAGUGUAGCAGUAGAAUGAGUAGAGAUUAGGAGGAACAUCAGAGGCGAAGGCGGCUUACUGGACCAUAACUGACGCUGAGGCUCGAAAGCGUGGGGAGCAAACAGGAUUAGAUACCCCUGUAGUC